AUUGAACGCUGGCGGCAGGCCUAACACAUGCAAGUCGAGCGGAUGAAGGGAGCUUGCUCCUGGAUUCAGCGGCGGACGGGUGAGUAAUGCCUAGGAAUCUGCCUUGUAGUGGGGGAUAACGUCCGGAAACGGGCGCUAAUACCGCAUACGUCCUGAGGGAGAAAGUGGGGGAUCUUCGGACCUCACGCUAUCAGAUGAGCCUAGGUCGGAUUAGCUAGUUGGUGGGGUAAAGGCCUACCAAGGCGACGAUCCGUAACUGGUCUGAGAGGAUGAUCAGUCACAGUGGAACUAGGACACGGUCCAGACUCCUACGGGAGGAAGCAGUGGGGAAUAUUGGACAGUGGGCGAAAGCAUGAUCCAGCCAUGCCGCGUGUGUGAAAAAGGUCUUCGGAUUGUAAAGCAAUUUUAGUUGGGAGGAAGGGCAGUAAGUUAAUACGUUGCUGUUUUGACGUUAACAACAGAAUAAGCACCGGCUAACUUCGUG
This 484-nucleotide ribosomal RNA is filed under the name uncultured bacterium. RNAcentral's name for it is "partial 16S ribosomal RNA". It matches the Rfam family "Bacterial small subunit ribosomal RNA", at positions 30 to 507 of the family's 1533-position model. The record is from RNAcentral.